UCAAGCAACCACCGCACUUGCAAUUCUAUAUAGCAAACACUGCCUGCCACUUCCUUUUCAGACUUCAACUGCAAAAAAUUACCAACAAAUUAAUCAAAUUUUCUUAUGGCACCCAUCACCAACCUCGUCUGCUUCCUUUUCACUCACUUUGGUUUUCUCUGGACACCCACGUUGCUCCACAACUUCAGGUAUGAAAACCUCAUUGAGCUUGAGCGAUAUACAUUCCAAAGUUACAGCUACCAGCAUUUAAUUGUUGUUCAAACUUAAUCAAGACAUAUAUGUGUGUGUUCAUAUGUAUACAUGCUCAAAGAAUCAAAGUUCCACAUGACCGGCUGUGUUUGAUCGCCGUCGAUGAAGUGAUCAUGAAGGCCGUUCAUCGGUUUUGGAGCUGCAGAUAGUGUUGUGAUCGUAGCAAAACAUCACUGUAAAUAUACUGUUAUGAUCAAGAUAAAUAAUUGUACACAACGUGGCAUUCAUUUCUGUUGUCAUAUGGUGCAUUGCAAUGUAGUUUUUAACUUUGUUUUUGUGGGUCUUAUUAUUUGCUUUAAUUGGGAUUGAUAUUAAAUGUAACAACUUUUUAUUUAGUACGAUAUUCUACACUAAUCGCUAGGAAGAGAAAGAGUUUAAAUCCGAAAUACAAUGAGUUGAAGAUAAAAACUUUAACUGCUGGAGCAAUA
Long non-coding RNA from Malus domestica (apple), 677 nucleotides. RefSeq lists it as uncharacterized. The record is from RefSeq and is a predicted model, not a curated record. Lineage: Eukaryota; Viridiplantae; Streptophyta; Magnoliopsida; Rosales; Rosaceae.